Molecule: RNA transcript, 608 nt
Organism: Myotis brandtii (Brandt's bat)
Lineage: Eukaryota; Metazoa; Chordata; Mammalia; Chiroptera; Vespertilionidae
Exons: 2
Source: RefSeq, a predicted model, not a curated record
UAGGUCGAGCUCAACCACCGAGCCACGCCAGCCAGGCUGUGCAUCUUUUAUUUUAAAUUAAUAUGUAUUAAAGAGGGGAAAACAACAUAAAGUACAAAAACUAAAGCCCACCCAUCCUAACACCAGUGAAGACUCUGGUAUAUUUCUUCCUGGUCUUCUUUUUCUUUGUAUGGAUUCCUGUUGGCAUUGUCAUUUCUAAAUCCAGUUCUAUAAUAAUGGACCCUCAAACCAAAGUUAAAAAUAUAGGAAGAAAAAGAAAACCAGUUACACAACCAAUCUGGCUGGAUCCUUGAUAAUUAACUCUGGAUCGUCUCUCAUUUUCUCCCAGCUACAUCCGCUACUCCCAGAUCUGUGCCAAAGCAGUGCGGGAUGCACUGAAGACUGAAUUCAAAGCAAGCGCAGAGAAGACUUCCAGCAGCAGCGUCAAAAUUGUGAAAGUGAAGAAGGAAUAAUGUACCCUGACUAAAGCUUGAAUGCUACAUUUUCAAAGUGAAGAUGUGUGGGCACAGGUUAUGGCAGAUUGGAAACGAUCGCACUUCAUGGGGAAAGUAACACCUGUCUUGUUGAUGGAUUGACAUUGCCAAUAAACCGAAACAUGCUCCCCUCCG